UAGUCAAUUAAUCCUAAAGCACUAUCAUGUCGUUGUAGUACUGAAGGUUGUCAAUCCAAAUGGGUGUGAUGCUAGCAAUCAAGAUGCAAUCAGAGUUCACAAAGUUAAGCUAAGCAAUAGUAGGUUUUGGGGUGUUCUAGCAGUCCUAAGUGAACAUGCAAGAAACAUAAAUUCAAGCAGAACAGUAAAAACACUCGACCAACACAGCUUGCUGCCAAGCACUGGGUGUGGUCGAGUGACAGGUCGAGUAACAGACAGAAAAUGUAACAAGGAUACUCGACUGCACAGUUUAUUGCCAGACAACUGGGUGGUCGAGUAUCAAGUCGAGUAACAGGAGAGAAAUGUAAAAACGAAGCAACAUGUAACAAGAUGCAGUAAACAACAGCAAAGCAAACAAAGUAAUCAAUUAGGUAAAGAAUUCCCGAGGAUGGGGUAAUUGAGUAGUUUCGUUUCCUCAGUUUACAAGUAAUUGAUAUGCUCAAUAAAUUAUCUCUAGACAACAAGUUCGAUAACCAAAUCUAAGUGCCACCGCAACAGAGACCCUCAAGUUAAACCAGUCCUAGACUCAAUCACCAUUGACGAGAGCUAACCUAACAGGCAUUACGAAUCAACAAGUUAAAGCCAAAACGCUCCCUGCAACCAAUACCUUGGUAUAGAGCCACAAAUCUCUGGAAUUAGUGGUUCAGACAUUUCAUCGAACAUCUUUUGGGUGCAGAAAUGUCUGGGCUCAAAUUCUAUAAAUCAAACUCAACCACCUAGCAUACUGAGAAUUCUAAACUACUCUAACCCAUCCUUAGAAACCUAGUCACUACUCAGACAUCAUAGUAGAAAGCAUAAACGAUGAAUAAAAUGAAAACAUGACAACAACAGAGUAAUAGCAAGAUGAUAACAGGAAGAACAACUUAGUAAACGAAAUCAAAAGCAAAUACUGAAUACUGAAUAGAUUAAGAGAAAUCCAGAUUACAAAAACGUCAAGAACACAGUGACUACGAAAUAAAACUUAGAUAAACGAAAAUGUAAAAUACAUGCUACUUAUAGCAAAAUAUUCCGAAACCCUAAUACUCAAAGCAACGCAGUAUUGGGACGGAUUAGGAACGGUACUCGACCUAGGUGGUCGAGUGAAUGUGAUGGAGUUCCUCGACCAGGUGGUCGAGUGGUGUGAUCGAGUGA
RNAcentral lists this small RNA (1170 nucleotides) under Arabidopsis thaliana (thale cress). RNAcentral describes it as "ATSL086320". The record is from RNAcentral. Lineage: Eukaryota; Viridiplantae; Streptophyta; Magnoliopsida; Brassicales; Brassicaceae.